Molecule: ribosomal RNA, 497 nt
Filed under: uncultured bacterium
Lineage: Bacteria
Description: partial 16S ribosomal RNA
Rfam family: Bacterial small subunit ribosomal RNA
Source: RNAcentral
GAUGAACGCUGGCGGCGUGCCUAAUACAUGCAAGUCGAGCGAACGGACGAGAAGCUUGCUUCUCUGAUGUUAGCGGCGGACGGGCGAGUAACACGUGGAUAACAUACCUAUAAGACUGGGAUAACUUCGGGAAACCGGAGCUAAUAACGGAUCAUAUUUUGAACCGCAUGGUUCAAAAGUGAAAGACGGUCUUGCUGUCACUUAUAGAUGGAUCCGCGCUGCAUUAGCUAGUUGGUAAGGUAACGGCUUACCAAGGCAACGAUGCAUAGCUGACCUGAGAGGGUGAUCGGCCACACUGGAACUGAGACACGGUCCAGACUCCUACGGGAGGCAGCAGUGGGGAAUCUUCCGCAAUGGGCGAAAGCCUGACGGAGCAACGCCGCGUGAGUGAUGAAGGUCUUCGGAUCGUAAAACUCUGUUAUUAGGGAAGAACAGAUGUGUAAGUAACUGUGCACAUCUUGACGGUACCUAAUCAGAAAGCCACGGCUAACUACGUG